RNAcentral lists this ribosomal RNA (379 nucleotides) under uncultured bacterium. RNAcentral describes it as "partial 16S ribosomal RNA". It matches the Rfam family "Bacterial small subunit ribosomal RNA", at positions 338 to 734 of the family's 1533-position model. The record is from RNAcentral.
CCUACGGGAGGCAGCAGUGGGGAAUAUUGCACAAUGGGGGAAACCCUGAUGCAGCGACGCCGCGUGAGUGAAGAAGUAAUUCGUUAUGUAAAGCUCUAUCAGCAGGGAAGAAAAUGACGGUACCUGAGUAAGAAGCCCUUGCUAACUACGUGCCAGCAGCCGCGGUAAUACGUAGGGGGCAAGCGUUAUCUGGAUUUACUGGGUGUAAAGGGAGCGUAGACGGCAGGGCAAGUAUGGAGUGAAAGGCGGGGGCUCAACCCCCGGACUGCUCUGGAGACUGGAAGGCUGGAGUGCAGGAGAGGUAGGUAGAAUUCCAGGUGUAGCGGUGAAAUGCGUAGAUAUUAGGAGGAACACCAGUGGCGAAGGCGGCUUACUGGAC